UUGACCUCGGAUCAGGUAGGACUACCCGCUGAACUUAAGCAUAUCAAUAAGCGGAGGAAAAGAAACCAACAGGGAUUGCCCCAGUAACGGCGAGUGAAGCGGCAACAGCUCAGAUUUGGAAUCUGGCCCCUAGGGCCCGAGUUGUAAUCUGGAGAGGAUGUUUCUGGCGCGGCGCCUUCCGAGUUCCCUGGAACGGGACGCCGGAGAGGGUGAGAGCCCCGUACGGUUGGACGCCUAGCCUUUGUGAAGCUCCUUCGACGAGUCGAGUAGUUUGGGAAUGCUGCUCAAAAUGGGAGGUAAAUUUCUUCUAAAGCUAAAUACCGGCCAGAGACCGAUAGCGCACAAGUAGAGUGAUCGAAAGAUGAAAAGCACUUUGAAAAGAGGGUCAAACAGUACGUGAAAUUGUUGAAAGGGAAG
Molecule: ribosomal RNA, 417 nt
Filed under: Grosmannia laricis
Lineage: Eukaryota; Fungi; Ascomycota; Sordariomycetes; Ophiostomatales; Ophiostomataceae
Also listed under: 1 other name
Description: eukaryotic LSU rRNA
Rfam family: Eukaryotic large subunit ribosomal RNA
Source: RNAcentral